RNAcentral lists this ribosomal RNA (422 nucleotides) under uncultured bacterium. RNAcentral describes it as "bacterial SSU rRNA". It matches the Rfam family "Bacterial small subunit ribosomal RNA", at positions 355 to 774 of the family's 1533-position model. The record is from RNAcentral.
UGAGGAAUAUUGGGCAAUGCCCGCAAGGGUGACCCAGCAACGCCGCGUGGAGGAUGAAUGUCGUAAGAUUGUAAACUCCUGUUAGAGGGGAAGAAUAGUACCGGUUGGACCGGUAUAUGACUGUACCCUCAGAGAAAGCCCCGGCUAACUACGUGCCAGCAGCCGCGGUAAUACGUAGGGGGCAAGCGUUGUCCGGAUUUACUGGGUGUAAAGGGCGCGCAGGCGGGAUAAAAAGUCAGUGGUGAAAUCCUACAGCUUAACUGUAGAACUGCCUUUGAUACUGUUAUUCUUGAGUUCGGGAGAGAGAGACGGAAUUCCAGGUGUAGUGGUGAAAUACGUAGAUAUCUGGAAGAACACCAGUUGCGAAGGCGGUCUCUUGGUCCGACACUGACGCUGAGGCGCGAAAGCGUGGGGAGCAAACA